This 202-nucleotide unclassified non-coding RNA is filed under the name Hevea brasiliensis (rubber tree). The record is from RNAcentral. Lineage: Eukaryota; Viridiplantae; Streptophyta; Magnoliopsida; Malpighiales; Euphorbiaceae.
CGACUUGACAACUGCUGCAACAUGAGGACGACAAGACUGACUUUCAAACACCCAUAUUGAGCAACGCUGGAAGAUAACUCUGGACCUUCUCAACCCUCAAACAUGUUCUAGAACUCACUGAUCAUUUUCAUCCUGUGCUGGUGAUGGGGAUUUCUCUGAAUCCGCUGGCUUGUCUGCUCCACAAUUUUGUCUGUUGCACUUG